UACGUAGGGUGCGAGCGUUGUCCGGAAUUACUGGGCGUAAAGAGCUCGUAGGUGGUUUGUCGCGUUGUUCGUGAAAACUCACAACUCAAUUGUGGGCGUGCGGGCGAUACGGGCAGACUGGAGUACUGCAGGGGAGACUGGAAUUCCUGGUGUAGCGGUGGAAUGCGCAGAUAUCAGGAAGAACACCCGUGGCGAAGGCGGCUUUCUGGGACGGUACUGACGCUGAGACGCGAAAGCGUGGGGAGCGAACAGG
RNAcentral lists this ribosomal RNA (253 nucleotides) under uncultured bacterium. Its description in RNAcentral is "partial 16S ribosomal RNA". It matches the Rfam family "Bacterial small subunit ribosomal RNA", at positions 524 to 776 of the family's 1533-position model. The record is from RNAcentral.